Molecule: small nuclear RNA, 163 nt
Filed under: Betta splendens (Siamese fighting fish)
Lineage: Eukaryota; Metazoa; Chordata; Actinopteri; Anabantiformes; Osphronemidae
Description: U1 spliceosomal RNA (ENSBSLG00000001685.1)
Rfam family: U1 spliceosomal RNA
About the family: U1 is a small nuclear RNA (snRNA) component of the spliceosome (involved in pre-mRNA splicing). Its 5' end forms complementary base pairs with the 5' splice junction, thus defining the 5' donor site of an intron.
Source: Rfam by way of RNAcentral
AUACUUACCUGGCAGGGGAGAUACCAUGAUCAUGUAGGUGGUUCACCCAGGGCGAGGCUCAGCCAUUGCACUGAGGCUGUCUGACCUCUGCGAAUUCCCCAAAUGUGGGAAUCUCUACUGCAUAAUAUCUGGUAGUGGGGGACUGCGUUCGCGCUCUUCCCUG